RNAcentral lists this ribosomal RNA (488 nucleotides) under uncultured bacterium. Its description in RNAcentral is "bacterial SSU rRNA". It matches the Rfam family "Bacterial small subunit ribosomal RNA", at positions 29 to 507 of the family's 1533-position model. The record is from RNAcentral.
AUGAACGCUGGCGGCGUGCUUAACACAUGCAAGUCGAACGGAGAUGUUGUGUGAGCGGAGAGUGCUUGCACUUAACAAUCUUUCAACAUCUUAGUGGCGGACGGGUGAGUAACGCGUGGGUAACCUGCCUCAUACAGGGGGAUAACACUUAGAAAUAGGUGCUAAUACCGCAUAAGCGCACAGUACCGCAUGGUACAGUGUGAAAAACUCCAGUGGUAUGAGAUGGACCCGCGUCUGAUUAGCUAGUUGGUGAGGUAACGGCUCACCAAGGCGACGAUCAGUAGCCGGCCUGAGAGGGUGAACGGCCACAUUGGGACUGAGACACGGCCCAAACUCCUACGGGAGGCAGCAGUGGGGAAUAUUGCACAAUGGGGGAAACCCUGAUGCAGCGACGCCGCGUGAGUGAAGAAGUAUUUCGGUAUGUAAAGCUCUAUCAGCAGGGAAGAAGAAUGACGGUACCUGACUAAGAAGCCCCGGCUAACUACGUG